AUUGAACGCUGGCGGCAUGGCUAAAACAUGCAAGUCGAACGCGAACGGGGCUUCGGCCCCUAUUAGAGUGGCGAAAGGGCGAGUAAUGCGUUUCUAACGUACCCCAUGGCGAGGGAUAGCUCGGAGAAAUCCGGGGUAAUACCUCAUAGUCCCGGCUGGUCGCAUGACCGGACGGGCAAAGGCUUGCCACCCUGGGAUCGGGAAACGUCCUAUCAGCUAGUUGGUGAGGUAACGGCCCACCAAGGCGAAGACGGGUAGCGGGUGUGAGAGCAUGACCCGCCGCAUCGGAACUGAGACACUGUCCGGACUCCUACGGGAGGCUGCAGUAACGAAUAUUGGUCAAUGCGGGAAACCGUGAACCAGCAAUGCCGCGUGAAGGAUGAAGCCCCUCGGGGUGUAAACUUCUGUCAGGAGCUAGAAACCAAAUGAUCAGCUCCAGAGGAAGAGCCGGCUAACUCUGUGCCAGCAGCCGCGAUAAUACAGAGGGCUCGAGCGUUAAUCGGAAUCACUGGGCUUAAAGGGUGCGCAGGCGGACUCGCAAGUGCUUUGUGAAAUCCCACGGCUCAACCGUGGAAUCGCUUGGCAGACUGCAAGUCUUGAGCUCGACAGGGGCCGUCAGAACUCUAGGUGGAGCGGUGAAAUGCGUAGAUAUCUAGAGGAACGCCAAAGGUGAAAACAGACGGCUGGGUCGAUGCUGACGCUCAGGCACGAAAGCAUGGGUAGCGAACGGGAUUAGAUACCCCGGUAGUCCAUGCCAUAAACGAUGUGUACUAGAUCGAGGAGGUUUUGACGCCAUCUCGGUCGAAGCUAAAGCAUUAAGUACACCGCCUGGGGAGUACGGUCGCAAGGCUAAAACUCAAAGGAAUUGACGGGGGCUCACACAAGCGGUGGAGCAUGUGGCUUAAUUCGAAGCAACGCGAAGAACCUUAUCCAAGACUUGACAUGCACGGAUUAACUUCUGGAAACAGAAGCGACGCUCUUUGAGUGGAACGUGCACAGGUGCUGCAUGGCUGUCGUCAGCUCGUGCUGUGAAGUGUCGGGUUAAGUCCCUUAACGAGCGAAACCCCUAUCGUUAGUUGCCAACAGGUAAAGCUGGGGACUCUAACGAGACUGCCGGUGUCAAACCGGAGGAAGGUGGGGAUGACGUCAAGUCCUCAUGGCCUUUAUGUCUUGGGCUGCACACGUGCUACAAUGCCGCGGACAAAUCGACGCAAUACCGUAAGGUGGAGCAAAUCGCAAAAACCGCGGCUCAGUUCGGAUUGGGGUCUGCAACUCGACCCCAUGAAGCUGGAAUCGCUAGUAAUCGCGCAUCAGCCAUGGCGCGGUGAAUACGUUCCUGAGCCUUGCACACACUGCC
This 1357-nucleotide ribosomal RNA is filed under the name uncultured bacterium. RNAcentral's name for it is "bacterial SSU rRNA". It matches the Rfam family "Bacterial small subunit ribosomal RNA", at positions 28 to 1394 of the family's 1533-position model. The record is from RNAcentral.